CAGAGGCCUCAAGCGUUGUUCGGAUUCAUUGGGCGUAAAGGGUGCGUAGGCGGCGGGGCAAGUCAGGUGUGAAAUCCCGGAGCUCAACUCCGGAACUGCACUUGAUACUGCCUCGCUAGAGUACUGGAGAGGAGACUGGAAUUUACGGUGUAGCAGUGAAAUGCGUAGAGAUCGUAAGGAAGACCAGUGGCGAAGGCGAGUCUCUGGACAGUUACUGACGCUGAGGCACGAAGGCCAGGGGAGCAAACGGGAUUAGAUACCCCGGUAGUCCUGGCAGUAAACGGUGCGCGUUUGGUGUGGGAGGAUUCGACCCCUUCCGUGCCGGAGCUAACGCGUUAAACGCGCCGCCUGGGGAGUAUGGUCGCAAGAUUA
Molecule: ribosomal RNA, 372 nt
Filed under: uncultured organism
Description: bacterial SSU rRNA
Rfam family: Bacterial small subunit ribosomal RNA
Source: RNAcentral